RNAcentral lists this small RNA (260 nucleotides) under Halobacillus karajensis. RNAcentral describes it as "BsrG". The record is from RNAcentral. Lineage: Bacteria; Bacillati; Bacillota; Bacilli; Caryophanales; Bacillaceae.
GAUCGUGCUUUUGCCAAUUGAAUAGGGUGUCGGCUAACCCCAGAGUAAAGGGGGUGAUGCCUCUGAGUAUGUAUGAAUCGUUGAUGGUGAUGAUCGCAUUCAGUUCGUUCAUCGUGUCCGUUCUCGGCUUAGUUGUCGCGAUUUUACGCAUAAAAAAAUAGACUCCCUAUUCUGACGUGAAUGCGGGUGAGUCUAUUUUACAGGCUGCGCCCUUUGGCAGAAGCGCUUAUCCGGGAGGACCGCAGUGCCAGCUGUGGUCC